Molecule: transfer RNA, 74 nt
Filed under: Triticum aestivum (bread wheat)
Lineage: Eukaryota; Viridiplantae; Streptophyta; Magnoliopsida; Poales; Poaceae
Also listed under: 1 other name
Rfam family: tRNA
About the family: Transfer RNA (tRNA) molecules are approximately 80 nucleotides in length. Their secondary structure includes four short double-helical elements and three loops (D, anti-codon, and T loops).
Source: Rfam by way of RNAcentral
AGCGGGGUACAUGAAUUGGUCAACUCAUCAGGCUCAUGACCUGAAGACUGCAGGUUCGAAUCCUGUCCCCGCCU